Molecule: ribosomal RNA, 253 nt
Filed under: uncultured bacterium
Lineage: Bacteria
Description: partial 16S ribosomal RNA
Rfam family: Bacterial small subunit ribosomal RNA
Source: RNAcentral
UACAGGGGGUGCAAACGUUGCUCGGAAUUAUUGGGCGUAAAGCGCACGUAGGCGGUUUGUUAUGUCGGAUGUGAAAGCCCUUGGCUCAACUGAGGAAGUGCAUCCGAAACUGGCAAGCUAGAGUAUGUAAGAGGGUCGCGGAAUUCCCGGUGUAGAGGUGAAAUUCGUAGAUAUCGGGAAGAACACCGGUGGCGAAGGCGGCGACCUGGGACAAUACUGACGCUGAGGUGCGAAAGCGUGGGGAGCAAACAGG